Long non-coding RNA from Papio anubis (olive baboon), 1652 nucleotides. Lineage: Eukaryota; Metazoa; Chordata; Mammalia; Primates; Cercopithecidae. The record is from Ensembl.
AUGAGAGGGCGGAAACAGCAGGAUCUCACUUUGUCACCCAGGCUGGAGUGCAGUAGUGGCAAAAUCACGGCUCACUGCAACCUCAACCUCCUGGACUCAAGCCAUCUUCCUGCCUCAGCCUCCUGCAUAACUAGGACUACAAGCGUGCACCACCAUGCCUGGCUAAUUUUCAAAUUUUGUUUUGUGUAGAGAUGGGGUUCCACUAUGUUGAACUUGAACUCCUGGGCUCAGGCGAUCCUCCCACCUCACCCUCCCAAAGUGUUGGGAUUACAGGCGUGAGCCAUGGUGCUCAGCUCUGCAGCAUUUUAUAUCUUAUUUGCAAGAGCUGUGUGGAUUUUCAUUGGCUUCUUUCUUAGCCUGGGUUACCCUGGAAAGCAGAGAUUGAGAAAAGAGCUUGCAUUCAGGUAGUUUUUUUGGGAAAUGACCCAAGGAAUCAGUAAGUGGAAGCACUUGUCAUUGAGUCACAUCCCCCAUUGAGGGUUGCCUUGGGUGGUGAUCUCAGACCCUGCACUUGAGCUGUGCUUGCAUCCAUGCCCAGUAAACUCCUGUGGGUAUCCCACUUCUUCAGUACCAGAAAAACGCCACAGAAGGUCAAUGAUAUGCCUGAGGAAAUAUGUGGUCAAUGUUGGAACUCUUCACCCCUUUUACCAUGUAAUUAUUCACCACAGCCACAACUGCAAAUGGCAACAGAAGACUGAGAAGAAGUGAGGCAGAACAUAAGAGGCACCUGAUUCAAUCCAUUCUCUGCAUAUGUUAAGACCAAUUUGUCACUGAGUCUUCAAAGUAUUGGCAGCUGCAAUCACUCCAAAAAGAAGCUUAAUGCAAAGGAUUAGUAUACUAAGCUGCAAUCUCCACUGCCACAACUGAAUCUGAGGUCAUAAUUGGUAUUCAUCAUCUAGCUUCUCCAACAUCCAUUCUAGAUUUCCCUCACCCUUGCCCAAAACUUCAGGUCCUUAAUUGGCAUGCCAUCUCCAUCCUUGAGGGAUGUGAGCUCUUAGCUUCCUUGUCCUUACUGGGCUAUGAUUGCUAAAAUUGACUAUUGACCAGUAUCAUUUUGCAUGGAAGUACCCAGAGACCCCCAGUGAAUCCCUGUAUUCCAGAUUCUCUCUGUUCUCAUUGUAUGGUAAGAAACCCUACUCCUCAAGAUAAUCACAUUUGAUUAUCUUCUGCAAGUAUAGUAAUUCUUUUCUUUGCUUGUUAGGUCGCUGGCAUGAGGAACCCAAAGUAGAGGCGGCAGUCAUAGUUUCCGCCUCAUUGAGAUUCUUAUCAAUUCCUUUAGUGAAAGCAGUACUCCUCUGGGUAUUAGAACCUCUGAAUCCUAUAAAACCUAAAGGUGCAGGGACGAGAAGCACACAUUCUGUAAGCAGACCACUUAGAAUCCACUGGGAAUGAUGGUGAGAGGGUCAGACAACUAUAUAGACCUGUUUAUUUCAGUUAUUGGGGGCAUAGCAUGACUAUUUGUUUAAUUUAUAUACUUGUUCUUGGUGGACAAUGUCCCAGCUUCACAGAGGUCUUUGCCCUGAGUUAGCACCUUAGUUGAACCUUUAAUAAGCAAUUCCAUCAUUAUAAGCAGGUGAUUUUUUUCAGGUGGUGCACUAUGUGGUAGAAAUAAUGAAUCAUUUGGUCAUGAAUUGAUUGUUGCAAACUUUUCU